Mirounga angustirostris (Northern elephant seal) is the source of this 16734-nucleotide long non-coding RNA. RefSeq lists it as uncharacterized. The record is from RefSeq and is a predicted model, not a curated record. NCBI's taxonomy places the organism in Eukaryota, Metazoa, Chordata, Mammalia, Carnivora, Phocidae. The transcript is spliced from 2 exons.
AUCUUCUCCUCCUCCCUCUCUGUGAUCGAAAAUCUUGAGCUGCACCGGCCGGGGCAGUCCUGCUGGGCUCCUCCGAGGGGGCUGUGGCAGUUGCUCCGGUCGCAGUGAAUUAUUUGGGGCGCCGGGGAAGGAGAUGCAGCUCGCGGCGGCGGCUGUACCCUUUCGUGUAACCUUGCUGCUCCCCCCGCCGAGCCCCUUCUCGGCUUCUCGCCCCCCACCCCACCCCCUACCUUUUUGACAAUUAAAUGCCCGUCACAAUUGGCCAGGAGGAACCCGAGUGGUCUCUAGAACUGUAAAACACCCCCGUAAUUAGUGCGCUUUUGUAAAAAAAAAAAAAAAAGAAAAGAAAAGAAAAAAAUCGUGCUCCUACUCCUACUCCCAACAUGUGACUGAAAUGUAACUUUUGUUCCUGAGGGGUGGUCUCCUUAGAAAAAAAAGUUCGUCAGCCCCCGUUGGGGAUGCAAUCUUUUUUUUUUUUUUCCCCCCCUUAGAGGACUGCCUGGGUCAGAUCAGACUGGAUUUUUUCUCCUCCUCUGAUUGUAAUUGCAAGCGCUGUCGGAGAGACAGUCCUGGUGUCAGCUUUUCCUGGGCAUUUGCACAAUGAAUUUCUCUCUUUCUUUUUUAAACCGAGGUAAAUAAGUUGCCGAAUGCUUAUUUUACUCCCAUGCAUGUGAAAGUUGAGUAAUCCCAAAGUAGAAAACUCCUGUGAUGCAGAGAGAGAGAGAGAGAGAGAGAGAGAAUUAUCUAAGUGAGCAGGCAAAGUGACCUUCCCUGUUUGACAGUGCAGAGAGGAUAUCUAAGAGUAGAAAUCUCCCGGCUUUCUGGUCGUGUUUUGCAGUAUUGUAAAUGCAGGGUGGUGGAUGUUUGCAAACACCGUACUUGGCUUCCAAGUAGUCAUGUGUGUACACGUAUAUAUGUCUGUAUCUAUAGAGCUGGUGGUACUGUGGUUUGUUGCUUCUAAGAAGUUGUAAAGUUUGCCACCGUGAGGAGGCAGGAUGAUUUGUCCAUUUCCCCCAAUUAUUUUUCCCAUGGCUGCGUAUACUGUGCACUUUAUUUAUUUCACUAUUCCAUCAGUCCCCAGGUGGAAAGCCUUCUGCUUCUGUGAGAGGCCGAAACCACUGAAGUUUGUUUGUUUUCAGCUUGGCCCAUUUAAUAUGUGCUCAUUGAGUGGACGCUGCAGAAACAAUGAACAAAUAACCUGUUUUCCUCAUCUGGGGGGAAUUAGAGAAACCUUUCCUGUUUCAACACUGCUUUUCCAAUAGGAAACAGUAUUUUGUUUAAAGUAUUCCUGUUUCAAGGAAACAGUAUUUUAUUAUAUUUGCUUACUAGGUUUUUGUAAUUAGACUUAGAUUUUAGUGUUUCUCAUCAGGUGAGAUUUUCAUGGAUUUUUAACAUAGGGCUAAAGUGAACUAAAAAAGUGGGUUGGGUUUCUUUGUUUUUGCCUCACAAAAAUGCCCAGGGGCACUUGAGGGCUUUUGUGUUUGUAGAUACCUGGGGGCAGCAGAAUGUCUGUGGUGGAGAGGGUAUCACAGUAAAUAAUUUAAGGUACUUGGAUACUUCAAAACUAGUUUCUUUUGCUGUAUAAAUUAGCUUCUACAAUGAGCACGGUACAGAUAAUUUGACACUUAAUAACACAAACAGAGGUAACUAAAUAAUAGGGUAUUAAAUCAGUAAAUUGUAUUUGAUGGCAAUAAAUCCCACAUCAGGAAAACCUGGACCAACGACGGGGCGGUAAUUUUAGGCUGAAAACAAACAAAAAGCUAUUCUUUCUGUGACUUUUCUUGAUACCUCUCUUAAAGAGACUGCAUGUCCCCACUGUUCUGAUGGGCUUAUUUCUAGUGCUACUGAGUGGCUUGUUUCAUCCUACUCUAGUGGGAAGAGUUCAGCAGCCCCUUUCCUUGCACAGACAUACAGAACUAAUCUCCAAACCCAGACAGAACACUGUCUUAAAUGUGACAUAAAAAUUGCAGCCAUAGUUUGCCUGUCAUUUUUUUCCUUUUUGCUUAUCCUUUCAGGUUUUUUUCGGUGCCUCUUUUCAUGACUGUGUAUUUCUAUGUAAUUAACAUAGAUGGAAUACUCUUCACUAGUAACGAAAGUAUCACUUGUAUUUGAAUGGUUCUUCACCGAACCAGAACCAGCGUAGAACUGUUGGCUUAGACCGUGUGUAUGUUUAGGUGCACACAUGUGAAGUGUGUUUUUUUCCAAGGAGUUUGUUGAAUUCACAGUGUUCCAAUAAUAAGUGCCUCAGAUCAAGGACUUGGGAUUAUUCUGGGUCAUCUGAAAAUGUGCUGGUGAUGUGUGCAGUGUUUCAUUUAGUCCUUGGGAUGUGGUACAGUGACUGCAUAAUAAAAAAUGUUUGCUGGUAACCCGCAAGCAAGUUACGGGGAUUGCUUCUAGAGUCCAGUAAACAAUAACUUUUCUGUGGAGCGGAGAAGGAAUGUCAGAAGCUUUCAAGGAUGAGCUGAUGAGUCCGAUGUAUUGAAGACAUGUGAUACGGAAGCCUCCCUCUGUGUGGAGAGAUUUCCCUCACUCCUCCACUCCACUCCUGAAACCUUCCUCACUUGUUCCCAUUCCUUACAAGCAGCUGGUCAGCAAACAGUAAAUUCCUCAGCAGCUUGUGUGAUAGAGCACAGAGGAGCCUGACCGGAGGCAGCCACAGAGGGAAGUACUUGGUUUACUUCUGAGCAGUGUCUGUUCUCCUGGAAAAGCAAAGUGUAGAAUUUAGGUGCAAUUUCCAAGGUGAAAGUUUUUGACUCGGUCAAGCAGUGACACCUUUGUAUAGAUCGCUUCUGUGGUGGUAGUUGACAUCGAAUGCCUGAUAAGCACCUUUUAUAUUUCUUUUGAGCUUUGUAGGCAUCUUUUCAUCACCUAGGGAAGUGAGUACCAGACACGCAUCGUACACAGAAGACAGGUUGACUAGCCCAAGGUUACCCAAACCGUCACGGAGCCCCACCGUUUCUCUGCACUGGGCUGCCCCACGUGUGCAAGGGCACUCUCAUUCAAGAGUUUAAAUGCUUCCUUUGCUGACCAGUGGAGUGGUUCAAAUGUAAGGACAGGGACAACUGACUAUAUAAAAAAACAAAUAAUUUUUUUCAGAGGCUUGAGUGGCUGACUGUGCUGGUCACGGGAGGAAGGAAGAGGCUGUCCUUUCCAUCAUCAGCCUUCACCUUCAAGUCACCUGUUCGGUUUUAAGUUCAGCCGACUUGCUGCGGAAAGUGGUGAUGGCCCAGCAGACACAGUCCUUCGCUUCUUGGCAUGGUGCUUUAGUUGUGAGGGCCAUCCAGGUUACCAGACCUAGUGGCCUAACUGCCCCUUCCCCCUUUCCCUGCCCUCCCUGUUUGUCUCUACUCUCCAGUAUGGUUGGCCUUCUUAGCAGAAAGAAAUCUCUUUUUAUUUUGCUACUAACUGGGACACUCCGGGUUUCCCCUACUGGACUCUGAGCUCCUUGGGUUUAGCGAUGGUUAUCUUUGUGUCCCAGUACCUAGCUUGGCACCUGGCACAGAAGUGUUCCUCAGUAAUGUUUGCUGAUUUGAAGUGAGGCAUGGGAGGAGGUCAGCGCCCUUUCCUGUCUGUUCCUGUGUACCAGAGGGUGACUUAACACUUUUAUCCAUUAGCUCACGGGAAGUAUUUAAUAAGUCCGCACUGCUGUCUCAGGGGGGCCUAGAACACUCUCUGGGUGUCUGUCCAAAAAUGAUUAUCAGUAGAAUUUUGGUAUAAUGAUACUGUUUUUAUUAUUUUCAUAAAAUGAAAAAAAACACUUGUGUAUCUAAACAGACAAGGGAAUUGAGUAAAAGAUGAUAAAGGGGCUUGAAGAAUCACUUUAGAAGGCUCAGAUUAGUAGGCUUGCCGGUUUUCCCGUUUCUUGGACAAUUGAACCAGGGAACCUUUAGGCUUUCAGAACUGGAAGGGCUUAGGGAUCACCUGGGCCAGCCUCGUAUUUUCAUAGAGAGGAGGUCCAGAGAACGAAAUGGCUUGCUCCAGCUAAUUGGUGUCUGAGCCAGGUUUAGAGCACCAUAGGCCUCGUUCUCAGGCCCCUGCACUGCAUUUGCUGGGUUCAUGGUGCAUCCCUAUAAAAGGCCAAGGAAAUUCGAUACAAUAGGCUGCACUCUCUCUGGCACUUCCUAGCUUGGUCCAUUUUAAUCCCAAGCCAGCUGGUAUGAGGGCACGGAGAUAUGUGCCAAGGAAGAUGUGUGUGGGGGGAGCACUGGGCCCAGAGGGUAUAUUGUUAGAUGUGAGAAGAGGAAGUAGUAGGAGUAGGGGAUCAGGGAAGAAGGGGUUGAUGAACUUGUAUUUGUACCACUGUUUGCAGCAACAUUUUUUUUAUUAUGGUAAAAAACACACAGUGUGAAAUUUACUAUCUUAACCAUUUUUCAGCGUGCAGUUCCGUAAGUGAUAAGUAUAUUCACAUUGUGGGGCAACAGACAGAUCUCUAGAACUUUUUCAUCUUGCAGCUCAGAAACUCUAUACCCACUACACACUCAUUUUCCCCCUCCCCUCCUCCCGGCCUUGGUAGCCGCCUGUCGAUUUUCUGUUUCUAUGGUUUUGACUACUUAGGGUACCUUAUGUAAGUGGAAUCCUAUAUUAUUGUUACUUUGCUUGUUGUUAACGCCCUGGAGGUUCCUCCACGUGGCAGAAUGGUACAGGAUUUCCGUCUUGUUUUAAGGCUGCAUAAUACUCCGUUUUACGUGUAUGCCACAUUCUCUUUAUCCGUUCAUCUGCUGAUGGAGAUUUCGGUUACUUCUAUCUCAUGGCUGUGUGGAUAAAGCUGUGGUGAGCAUAGAUGUGUGAUGACCGCUUGGAGAUCCUGCUUUGAGCCCUUUGGAUGUACUCCAAAGAUGGGAUGGGCGGGAUGCAGCAACUCUUUUUUACAGUGUGUGUGAGAAGUCUGGUACGAAAGGAAGGUACAGCUGAAAGAAAAUCUGUAAAUCUCAGUUGAGCUGCAUCUGCGCACACCGAGGAAGGAACCAGACUGAUGAAGUGUGGCUUGCUGGGGCAUCUCAGGAUGAGCCCCGAUGAAGAGGCAGAAAUGACUUGUGUCCCACAUCAUCUGUUGGUUAGAAAUGAGUGCUGUUGCCUGUUGGAAACUGUUCCUUCAGUGUCGAAAUAUUACCACAAAUAUAUUAUUAGCUCUGUUAAUUUGCUCUAUAAGCCUUUCUUCUUAGAUAGUGAACAUGUACAGGUCAGCCUGGUCUUUGUAGAAAUGAUCUGGAAUUUUCAGACUGUGGGGAAGCAGUGGGAGGGGUUGAAAAAGGAAGGCAUUAGCCCGAGUUUGUUACGUGUGGACUCCCCGAGGGGCAGAGCUGCUUCUUGGUCCCGUGGACUGUGUUUAUGGAAAACUCUGUAACACUUGCAUUUUGGAGCUUUCCCCGUUCUGGGUAAUUAAAGGGGUUUGUCAGCUGUUUUAGUGGUCAUUGUGCCUACAUUUUCUCCCCUUCUUCUGCUUCCUCCUUCUCUUCCUCCUCCUUCACCACCAUCACCACCACCACCAGGUGUGGAAGACGACUGCCUGCUGGUCCGCCAUGUGCGAAGUGUUUGAUCUGCAUUAUCUCCCUUACUCUUCACAACUUUCUCAGGGAUGCUGUUUUUCUCCCUAUUUUACAAAUGAGGAUCCUGAAGCCUGGAGUGUUUUAAGUGACCCAUUGGCCCUCAGACACCAUACGUGGCCAAGCUAGGGCCUACAAUUCCAGAGCAUUCUCCACGACACUGUUCUCGGGUACAGCCAUCUUCGUGAAGAAAAUUAGGAAACUGAUUGUGAUGGGUGAUGGUGGAGCCUCCCAUGAGCCGGGGUGAGAGGCAGGAAUAGGGCAGCAGAGAUGUUUCCUUCCCAUUCUGGGUCCCCUUGAAGGUGGGUUGUUCCUCACUGUUCCUCUCACAGCGGGGAGAGCCAGAUGGUCACGCCACACAACCCAAUGUCCAGGUCUUCCAUUUUUCUUCCAGUCUCUGGUGUUCUCUAGUGAUAUUUUGUCUUUGGAUAGGUUUCAUGCAAGGCCCUCCAUGUUCUCAGAAACCUUUCUUUUCCCUCUCUGCCUUUUUCUUCUUUCCCUGGCACCUAAUUACUCCGUCCAUUCUGUGGGUGACAGGCUGCACUGUGUCCUCUCAUACUGCCCAAUCUCAGCCUCUGCAUUAGAUACCUUUGCGUCACUCCCUGGUCAGUCUUUUCUGUCCACAGCUUUUUUAUGUCCCCCUCCCUUGAAACUUUUUACACAAUCCGUCAACAGAAAGUUUUUCUUAAACCAUCCCUCACAUACAUUCUCAAUACUAUAUGAUUUCUAGGAAUCUGAGGUCUUUUCAGGUAUUCCCCGAUUGUCCCACACCACCAGAGGAAUAAUCUUUUCUUCCCCCUCUUUCCUGGUAGCCUGACCACACUGGCCUCGUUCUAUCUUACUUGAGCGAAGAGAGAAUUUUGGCCAUCUGAGUUCAUAAAAUUUGGCAUUUGAACAACUUUAAUGAAGCCUUUCUUCAGAACAGAUAUGGGGAAGGAAGCAGAGAGAGAGAUGUGGGGAGGCAAUAAGAGGGAAUCUGAGAGAGCACAACCGAAAUUUCUCAUGAAACAGAUGAGGAAACUGGGUCCUUUGGCAUUUAAAUAGCAUGCCUGAGAUCACACUGUUCGUGGUAGCUGAGCCAGAGUCAGAAUUGGGUGUUCUGUCCUAGGACCAUGUCCCUCUAACACCGCGGCAGAGGAAGAGUGGUAAAAAGCAGACAAGAUUUCAGAAAGUGUGGCUUCAUCGUGAAGACUCUUAUAGAGUGGAGUGUAUGGCACCACACAAUGACUGAUGAUAUUAAUGAUCAUAAUUAUGACUUCCAAGUUAAAGACAAGCUUUAAGUUAUGAGAUUUAGGAAGUGAGAAAAUGUAAUGCAUUUUGGAAAGCUAUCCAACAAAAAUGUUUGGCAUAAAAAUAAUGUGAAGUUUUAAAAGGUUCAGUUAUCUGGAUGAAUGACUUAUGAAAAAUAUGUUACUCCCCAGUGAAGACAGGAAGGAGCUAUCCAAUAAAUCUGUACGUUCACCAGACCUGUGUACUCCUUGGGGGUAUUUUCCCUUUGUGUGUGGGAGUCAGACAUACGGAAAACGAUCUCAUUUCCUGAAUGACCUGAAAAGGAUGCAGCGCCCUGCUGCCAUGAGCACUGUGGGUGAAGUGCGUUCAGUGAUAUGUGUUGCCACGAUGUAGUUCCAAUUACCUCUACUUCAGAUUUUUCAUUCGCUUUUUUUUCUGUCUGAUGUUCUUUGGUUAUCUGUCAAGGAGAUUUCCCUCAAGAGGGUUGUAAGUUGCUGGGAAGAGGGGACCAGUCAUUGCCAUACUGUGGAGCCCUUCUAGGGGACGAACACAGACACUGGAGUAGACAGGCCUGAGUGUGAGUCCUGGUUCUUGAACUUAAUUAAUCUUCAUCUUCAACCUGUUAGCUCAUCUGAAGUGGUAAUAAAGAUACCUCUCCCUUGGGGUAUGUAAAUUUCAUAAUGCAGUGACUUACUCUGUUAAAAAAAAAGUUCUUCCCCCCUCCCUUUAUGUAUCCUCCAUAAUAUCUAGAUCUAGAAGGAGCUAAGAGAUUUUCUAGUCCCGGGCCUAUGUUUUACAGUUGGUAUGGCGGCCAGAGAUGCUGAUGGUUUGCUCCAACUCCUGUGGCUGGUCAGUGGCACCUCCUGAACCCAAAUCUAGGCCCCCCCAAGUUGGCAGACUCCCAGCAAGCGUGCUUGCCGCUAUGGACUGGGGUCACUCAGUCGUGUUGAGCAAAGCUCUUGGUUUAACUUUAAUUGAAUGCAAGCCUCAACAGUAGAAGAGAUGAGCCAGCUGCAGUUACGCGGUAAUAACCAAGGCCUUUUGCAUCUCACAGUGAAGUUUUGAGGGAAUAGCUGGGAUGGUUCUGAAUAAGUUUCAAAGAUAAAAGAAAAGGAAAAAAAAACAAAAAACAAAACCCGAAGCCUGGAAGUACUGUCCAGUGACUCUAACUAGCAUUAUUACUCAGCCCUCAAGUAUUCAGACCUAUUCAGGGACCCGCUUGUUCACACAGUUGCUUAUUAUUUGUGGCCGGGGCGCGACUUGAACGAGGGCAUCAUUUCUUAAAUCUGCUUUUGUUAAACAGGCAGUUCCAUGUCUGUCUGACCACAGAGCAGACACUGUUUGCUGGCGGGGGGGGGCUGGAGGGGUGGGGGGGUGAAUUUCCAGUGUCAAGAGUGGGAGUCGAUGGCUCUCAGUGGAAGUUUAUACAGAAGAGUUGGAGAAAGCCAAAUGUGUGACUUUGGGGCAUGAGGGAACCUUUGUUUUUAGAUGUUGAGGGACUGAAGUAUCUGUUUUCAGCAGCUCUGUUCUCUUAGCCGUGGACUGGAAAUGCAUUCCUGAGUUUUCCUCUGUAUAUCCAUGUUAGAUGAGGAGAAGACUUGGAGGCUGGAAAAUGACCCUUUGUGAGGCAGAGUGGAGAGAACGUGGCUGCCUCUUCCGCCUGACCUCCCCCACAGCAGGUGUGGGCGCUUUAGGACUAUUGGAGAAAGAGCAUAGAUUUGGGGAGAAACCGUUGCUCUGCCCUCCUCCUUGGAAAACACAAGUGAAAGUUUGUGAUUUUCUUCUCAGCUGCCUUGUCCCCUUCCCAGUGGCUUGUGAGGGGCCACAUAACUAUAUCUUUCCGAAGACUUAUCUCUGUAACAAGCAGUAACCCCUGCUCCACUCACAUCCCCUAUAUGUGAGGAAACAGUAACCAGAGAUGAGAUGCUGACUCUGAACUAUUUCCUGGAAGAAAUGAGCUGCAGGUAGAAAUCAGCCUGAUCAUUAAAAAGAAAAAAAAAAAUCAAGCCCCCAAGAACAGCCUGUUUGUCUCUGAAGUUCCCCUUUUCCCUAAGACUUCCCCUUGUUCCCUAGUGAAAGUGUGGGUCUGGGUGUGGUGCUGGUGGCCAUUCUAGGAAACUGGGAUUCGGGAAAGAACGGGGGAGGGCUCCGAUCUGCCUGUCGGGCUGCAGGUGUGGCCAGAGCAGCGCUGGGUUCCCUGAUGAAGAAUCCAGGUCAGGAGACAAUUUAGAGUUUGUAUCAUCCAGGGCCUGCUAAUUAACACUCAGAUCAAUACAUCGCACUGGGGUGGGCCAGGGGAGCUAGAACAGAGACUUGACAGAAAGGGGAGCAGGAGUUUGCUAAGCUGUCUUCUGGACUGCUCUGAGGAGCUUAGCCAAGGGAAGACUUUUCCCCAUCUUUGUUCAUUCGUUACUCAUUGUUGCUUCUAGACUGUUCGUCUUUCCCACACUGUCCUGGACGGUCGAAUCAGUCCUGCUGGAGGAGACUGCAUAAGAGAGUCUCCUGACUCACCGGAGGGUCCAGCUAUGUCUUUUCAUGUACAGAUGUGUGAUCCCGGGCGGGGCCUCCGAGGGGACAGAAGGGAGUUCUCUUUUCUCUGGGCCUGGUUGUAUGUGUGUGCCCAGCUUCCUGCCACAGAGUCGGCCCACCUGGUUUUGGGAGAUGGAAAAUCUGAAGGAUUGGACUCCUGGUGCAUUUUGCAAUCGCUGUGUCCUUUUGACCUGAGAUCUGGGAGGUUUUAAAAAUCCAUGUCAUGAGGUCACUGGACGGGUGUUUCGCACAGCUGAGACCCAUGGCUCUCCUCACUACCGGGUCCUGAUGGUCAUGGCCAGCGAUGGGGUGGGGACAGUGGGUCUCGCUUGGUGCCUUUUGAUAUGGUCUGUAUUCAAAGUGAGGCGAACUGGGUGGGAGAGCUGUCGUUUGGGAUGGAGAUAGGAGUAACGGAGAUCUUCGGUCUGGGAGUGUCCUCUUACCCCUGCCUGGGAGGCCUGAGUGACCCCAUGUGGCUGACUGCAUCCCAGAUCCCCUGGAAGGCUGCCAGAUCCUUAUUUGACUUUGUGCCAUUUAGUCCUUCCGUUAGUCUGCUGACUUGAAUACUUUAGGAUGAGGUGGAAGGAGGAAGCGUAUGAGUUGGAAAGGUAAGAGUCUUUACCCUUAGAAAGCUAGAGGAACGGAGGCUUGCGUUCUGAAUUUUACAUUAUGCCUUUUUUGUGUCUCCGCUCUGGCUCUGUGCUUUUGGCUCUGAGUCGGGUGGUGUGGGUCCACUUCUCUGCAGGUAGAAGUCACCUGUAGGUCAGAGGCAGCUUUUUUUUUUUUUUUAAACAUUAUUUAUUUUAGAGAGAGGGAAAGAGUGUGGGGGGAGAGGCAGAGGGAGAGGGAGAAGCAGACUCCCUGCUGAGCAAGGAGCCUGAUUCGGGACUUGAUCCCAGGACUCUGAGAUCAUGACCUGAGCGGAAAUCAAGAGUCAGAUGCUUAACCGACUAAGCCGCCCAGGCACCCUUCAGAGGCAGCUUUUAAACACGGUGGAAUCCAGGGGGGCUGUUGGAGGGCACAGGAAGGCUGGAGUAGUGAUCCUGUAAUCUUUUUCAGCAUGCUAUAAGGGUAUCUUUAACUUUCACCCAGAUAGGCAGGGAGAUGGGCAAAGGGACCUCAGCAUUCGGUUACAUGUCAAGUAGGGCACCUAUUAGAAUAUCUGUCUUAUUCCCACCCUUCCUGGAACUGUGGUUUUUCUAUGCCACCUACCUUAGAAAAUGAACAGGGCCCUGAUACCAGUGGCAGGAUAUGUAUUGGUCAUCUUUUAGAAGCACGGUGAGAUAGGUGGACAGGACCUUAGAGGGAAAUGACCCUUAAAAAUGAAUGAAGGAAACAAGGUGGGGAACCAUGUAGACUCCCUGAAAGGCCUUGUCAUUCCUGCAGAGAGGGAAGAGGUGGGCCCAAGGGCAUAAGUCAGUGUUAAUGUUAGCUAGCUCUUCUGAGAAUUUGUCUGUCUUGAAAACUUCAGUAAAGUGGCCAAAUGGAGCUUCUCUAAACCAGGGGGAAGGCCUGUGUGUGCUUUUGUGGUUAGCUCUUGUGUUGAGCAGUCUGAUUUAAGGGAAAGAUGGUUCUGUGUACAUUUCCAUUUCAGUUGUGGUAUUUUAAGGUUUACCAUGGAGGAGGUGUGGGUGAAUGAGAAGAUAGUCCUCUUGCUUCUUGAUUCAGUGAGAUCUAGGUUACAGGUGAAAGUAAGUUCACAACGCGUCCACAUUCUUAUUUGGGUACAUUUUAGGAUUGCCUGCAGAUCCGAGGGCAUAUCUAGUUAUUCUCCAUUGGUGUACAUGCUUGUGGCCUGCCAGGCUAAAUGCCAAGUGGAUUAUUGGAAAGAAUUCACUUCACAGAUCUGGCCCCCACAUUGGUGUCUGUGAUUCUUCUUGGGCUCUUGUAUUGGGGUUCUCUUAAAUCCUUUUGGGACUCCAAGUGGGGCCCAUGCUGACAAGAUUAUGCUGCUUUGGGGAAGUUCUGGCUGCACACUUCCCCAAGCAGGGUGAAGCAAGUGUUAGUCCAGCUGGCUGCCUUUUGGGCAGUUGGCCAUGCUUGGCACUUCUGAGUUUCUGGUAUACCAGUUGCCAGAAAGGCGGCCUUUCAGCUGGUCCUAGUGUCCCCAGGGCACAAAUGUUAGGCUUUGGAGGAAAAUUUGUGAUUUUAUGUUCACUCCUUAUUUUCGUUUAUGUGCAUUUAUGGCAUUAUAGUUGAAGUUCAUUGAAAGAUGCCUCUGCGCUCCAAAGCCUAGAAAGUAGCUUCCUUGGGUGAGGGAGAGGUUCCUAGGUAAAGUUAUCGAAGGCCCAUGCUGAGGGACACACACUGGAGGUUGGAAGGAGCACGAUCUAGGGACAACAGUGAGAGGGCUGACAGCAUGCCUUUAGAUGCUGUUUUUAGUUCUAAUCAGGACUGUACAGUAUGGCUCGUGCCUCCUUGGGCAUCAUUCUGCUUUUAUUCCGAGGGUUCGUUCUUGUGACCCCGCAUAUGUGCAUGUGUGUGCAUGCUCACAGGGUCAUAAGUCAGGGAAACGAGGGCAUAAUCUGUUCUCUAGCUUGUAGAGUGACAGGUUACACAAAACCCAGCCUUGUGGCAAGAAAACCUUACAUAUAGAUGGAAAAUAUAUCUCCUCGGAAGGUUGGCUUUCUGAUGGGCUAUAAACGGAUUGUUAAACAGCAAUGUGAGGGGCCGUUAACAAGCUGUUUCUAGGAGCAUCUCCCUGGUCUGGUCUGAAAAGGUAAUGUGUACAUAUUAGAGCUAUGAAAUAGUUUGCCUGUGGUGUUUAUAUGUUGGUAGAUUGUGUGUGUGUGUGUGUGUGUGUGUGUGUCUUCAGGGGUGAAUGAACCGAACAGAUAACUUUCCAUGUUGUUUAUUUCCUCCUACAUUAGCGUCCACGUUCUGUGGUGGGCUGUGUUCUGCCUAGUUUUUUUUAAGCUGGCUUAAAUGAAGAGGUGUUUGGUCAGGCAAACUUCAGAAAGCUUCAGUAUGUUUAUGAAAAGAUCCUAUAUAUGUAAUAGUUGCAUUAAAGCUUGAGAAUCCUUGGAUGGAUGGGUACAUCACCUCUCCAGAAGCAAAGGAGCAUUCAGGUCUCCCAAGUUCAGCAAUGCAGGGUGCCUAUUAGGUAUCUAAUCUUAUUUGAACUUCUUUUCAUUUUCAGGUGUCAGAGCUGAACACUGGUCCAUGCCGUUUCUACUACUAUUGGAUUUUAAUGAGAACCCUUUCUUGUUACUAGGAUGCCAUGCUUCUACUGUGUUCACAGCUGCUGUGUUAAAAAACAGGUGUCUCUUAUAAUCCUCUGACUGGAUCAGUUUGCUAGCCUGGCAAAGCCUUAUUAUUAUUGUUUUCAUUUAUUUAUCUGUGUCCCACAUAGGUCAGAGCCUGCCAGAGGCUGCUGAUGAGCAGGAUUAAUGCGAGAGAAGCUGGGAGCUUUUCUUGAUGGAGAUUUCUGUGCAAACAGUCCAUCUAAGAUCUUAUACCAUAAAGACAGAGUUAAAUAAAACUGUUCAGGAUACGGAUCACAGGGGAGAACAGCCAAAAGAGGAAUAGUAAAUGAAUAGUUCUGUCAUUCUUUAAAGGCCAUCUUAAAGCCGGUGCUGCCACAAAUGCCAUCCAGGACUGAGGGGCAUGAGUGGUGACAGGGCACACGAACAGAUUCAUCCAAUGUUGCUUCUCAAGGCUGCUGGAUCCCAAGCUUCUGGAGGGCAGAUGUUCUGUCUUCUCCGGCCCGCAAGGCAAGCUGCUGUCCUGCUACACACCUCAUCCCUCUCAUGCUGUUCGUUCUUCUCCAUCCUCACUGGCGCCGUCUUCCCUCUAGCCCCAGAUUUCUCACUUGUCUGCCAUCUCUCACCUUCCUACCUCCACUCCCUGCACUUUCCAGUCCGACCCAGAAUGAUUCUUUGCGAGUCAAAAUUCAGUCACAGUCCCUCUUUGACCCUGCAGUUCAGGAUGGAACCCAGCCCUUCGUCAUGGAAGGCCCUGGGCAGUCUACCUUUCUAGAAUCAUUCUCCAGCCUCCCCCUUCUGUAUUACCUUCCAACCGAGACCUGCUCUUCUCCCAAAACACAUAAUGCACCCUAAUGCCUCGAAUCUUCCCCUCAUCCUUUUUCCGCCUGGUAGCCAAUGUGUCAUCUGAAGCCCAUUUCUGAAGCCGUCCCUGUUGCUGACAGGCACAGCAUCCUACUAGCCUUUGAACGUGCUGGCUAUUGGCCAUGACCCUGUUGCAGUUUGCUUGUCAUCCUCUAGCUACAGUGAUAGCCCGUGGGGAGCAGGAGUCCGAUGGAUUCAUUUUUUUAUAUCUCCAGUUGUACAGCACGGUGCUUGGCGCGGGGCAGGUCUGAUGUAUGUUAGCUGAAUAGUCUUUUUAAAAUCAGCAAGUAUUUAUUAAGCUUCUCUUACGGGCUCAGUGGGAACUAGGCUCUGUGACACAUACGUAAGUGUGAGAUAAGCACCUUGCAGUCAAAUCCUGAGUUGAAAUCCUGAGCAAAUAGCCCUUGAAGGUAGAGGAAGGAAGGAAGAGACCUCACUUUUGUUGUAGGGUUAGGACCACAUGGCUGGGCUAACCGCACUGCCACUCCUCAUACCUGAGACGUACGCACUGGACAGACACACAGGACCCGUUCACUCUUUCCCUCUUAACUGCCCACCUUCCGGAGAGGAGCACAGAGAGCUGGAGAAAAGACUGGAGAACCUGUAGGCCCAAUGCAAAGGGAGAUGCAUGAACAGCCCCAAACGAGUAAACUUACUCACCAAUGUGCCCUUUUACUUUGCUUGGCUCGGGAUGCUCCUGGGCCCGGGAGAGAGAGCUGAUGGCUGUGUUGCAGCCAUGUGCAGUCUUGACAUUGUUGGCUGUGGUUCUCUGGGAACCAAGGGUGUAUCACCACUGCGUAGGGCUGCCUGUUGUCCCCUCACCUCAUUCCUCUGCUAGCUGGUUGGCAGAGAUAGCCUGAAAGAGCAGCCUGGCUUCCUGAGCCUUCUGUGAAGUCUGUGAUUGCCUUGCCAAGGACAGGGAGGAAUCUGACUCUGUACUUGGGUCAGCUCUUUUCAGCCUUCUCCUGAUCCCGUGUUCUCUUCUCUACUUAUCUGAGAAGCUGAUCUUCUUGGAGCUCUUAGCUUACUCCUAACAUGUUGCCUGGGGGGCCUAAACCAGAGAAAACAACCGAGCGUACCACGGGACUAGAAAAACAACUCAGAGCCGUGUCUUACGGAGGGUACGACAGCCUCACCAUUUCUGUUGACAGUGGACAACUCAGUGCUCCUUACUUAAAGAGGAGGCUUUUAGGAGAUGGUGUUAGGGUUAUGAACAGUCUGGUACGUGUGAAAUGGACCAACCGGCAGAAGUCGGGUAUUUUCAGGUAUAAGGAGACACACCUAGACCUUCCCCACAAGCCCAAAUGGCUCAUUUCCUGUUUCUUCUCAUUGCCAUUAACAUGCAGCUGGGAUUGGGGGCAUCAGGAUAUGUGAAAAGUCUCCACUUUCUGAACCCACCCAGAUCCCAAGCAAGGAUUUUUUCAUGGCUCUCCAAACCGUCACCUGCCAGGUUUUCCUGGCUACCUGCCAGGGGCGCUCUUUUCCAUAUCCACACUGCAGCUCCCCGCCAGCCCUCCCGGCCUUGAUCUUAUCUUGGCUUCAGGGGACCUGUCUCCACGCUGCUUUCCUUCUAGGCCUGUCCCCACCGGCAGCCCAGGGAUUCCCUUGCCUCUCCCAGAUGGGCUCCAAGGGGGGUUGUGUGCAAGUUGGGAGUUGUACAGCCACGAUGGGGAGCAGCAAGGCAUGGGUCCCAGUGCAGACACACAUUUAUGAAGCUGCCGGGGGUGGGGGUGGCUACCAAGGGUGUACCCUCAGGAGCACCCUGCUCGUACCCCUCAUGCUGUCCAGGCCAAAGGGGUACUGUCAGGUUCCUCCCACCACUGUGGUCCUUGCGCAACAUCUCCAUGGCCAAGGCUGUUGAUUUAGAAGCCAUUUCCUUCCUGUCUACUUCCUCUCCUUUCCUUCCAGCCUCACCAGACCCAGUGGUAGGCUUACUGCUCAGGGCGCACGGAAACCCGGGGCUUGGCGUGGAUGAGCCCCGGGGUUCCUGAUAACGAACGGGCGUAGUCUAAUCUCUGACCUGUCCCCCGUUUCGCUCUGUGAGGAAUUACAGUCCUUGUUCUAGCAACCUGCUCAAGAACAAACUUUUGAGCCCCCACAACUGUAAUAGGGCCAUCAGGCUUUGUUUUCACUUGAAGUUGCUUAAACAUUGACCUUCCUGCGAGGAAAUUUCAGGACGCUUUUCUGAAAGAGCUGUUGAAAUAGAAACAGGAGAGCGAUAACGAGUACCCAUUUGAUUGUGUGGGAGGGGCACCCGCAGCCCCUCCCGCUGAAGUUACCGUAUUUUCCAAACCCUGCAUGAUGAGUGUGAUCUGAUAAAGGACUUCUCACUGUUUCUCAUUUAUGUGGUAAGCCUUACAAAAGGAUACACCGUUCUAUUUUCACAGAUUUUUUUUUUUUUUUUUAAGAUUUUAUUUCUUUAUUUCAUAGAGCGAACACAAGUAGGCAGAGCGGCAGGCAGAGGGAGAGGGAGAAGCAGGCUCCCCGCUGAGCAUGGAGCCCUAUGUGGGGCUCAACCCCAGGACCUUGGGGGGAUCAUGACCUGAGCCGAAGGCAGACGCUUAACCUACUGAGCCACCCAGUAGGGUGAUUACAGAUUACUUUUACCGAAAAUAAAAUCACGCGCGUUCAGGGCUGUUAAGGAACAGCCCGCCUUCCAGCCAGUCUUCCAGCGUGGCAAGGGUGACACCGUCCAGUGGCUGGAGGCUCCACACCGUGGGGCUCUUCUGAACUUGUUCCCUUCUGGUGACCCCUGGCUGGGAUUGAGAAGGACUACCCAGUCUGUUUGUCUUUCUUCUGGAUAAAAGUUGCAGGGACACUUAAGCCUUAUGCUUUAGGGCAGAAUCUGAUCACAGCCGAGAUGAGAAAGAAAUUUCCCCUUGUGGUUUCAGGUUGCACAGUGGCCCAGGCAGGUGCACUACCUCUGUUAAACACACUCACAGCAGCAUGCUGCCUCCUCCCUGGCCAUCUCCAGGCCAGGCUGUUGGACCUCGUGGGCCGGCGGGGUGAUUCCUUUGGCAGGUCCUGCGCUUGAAGAUGGAAGGCAGCUCUACCCCUGCACUCGGCCUUCCUCCGGCUUCCCGUACUGGCCUCGGGGCCAUGUUGCCGGGCCCUUAGAACCCUCUGCAACUUCGCGGGAGAUUGGGAGUUGGGUCUUGGUCGCUACACACCCACGCCUGCACGCACACAUGCCUUUAAAGAGUUUUCUGUAAACUCGCUGCCCCUUUCCUGGGCAUGACUUUAGUGCCUACGCCACAUCUAACCCAUAUGCAUCCCCAAAAUACCACUCACAGCGAAUAGUAGAAUUCUUUUAACAUCAGGCCCACAGUUGACCAUCUCAGGCCUGCAUUGUGGGUAGCUUUGAA